RNAcentral lists this unclassified non-coding RNA (1266 nucleotides) under Hevea brasiliensis (rubber tree). Lineage: Eukaryota; Viridiplantae; Streptophyta; Magnoliopsida; Malpighiales; Euphorbiaceae. The record is from RNAcentral.
GUUCUUGUGCACCAGAGAUGGAAACAACUUUUUCCUUGUUGCCAUGUGGUGAAGGUAUACUUAGAAGUUAUGAGAUCAAUGGUAAAGAAGACGGCCUACUUGCUAAGCUGAUGGCGGUUCAUUUGCAUGUACUGGCAAUGGAACAAUGGAACGCUUCCAAACUUAAAAUGUCCCACAAAAAAUACUUGGUCAGUGCGACAAACCUGAUUCAUUAUUUGGCCUUGAAAAGCGUCAACAUAGAGCAGCUUAAAGAAGAACUUUCUUCCAUUUGUUUCCUGAAUUUAGACACAAUAAAUCAACAUGUUCUAGCAAGUCUUUCUGCAGGCAUCCGGCUGUUAGAUAAUGUAAAAUAUGAUUCUUCAAGUCAUAGUAUCUCUUAUAGUGAAGGAAUCUCUUCAACAAAAAGUCUGGACAAACAAAUGAAGGGGGAAUUUUCUAUCAAUACACUAAGGAGGAGGGCAUCCCAUACUGCGGACCUGUUAUUGGGCAGAUUGCCAGAGAAGAGAAACACUCAUAUCAUGGUAACAGUGGGUGAAGAAGCUAUAGAAAGUGAAACAUUAAUAAAAGAUCUUCUAAAUGCUGGAACUACCAUUGUUCGUAUCAAUUGUGCUCAUGGAAGCCCUGAAACUUGGAGUGAGAUUAUCAGAAAGGUGAAAAGAAGCUCUCAAAUUCUGGAAAAGCCUUGUCGAAUUCUCAUGGACUUAGCUGGGCCCAAGCUUCGAACUGGAAAACUGCAGCCUGGUCCAUGUGUGUUGAAAAUAUCUCCCAAGAAGAAUGCUUAUGGGCAAGUGAUAUACCCUGCCCUAGUUUGGCUCUCAAGCCCAGGAGCUGGUUCUCCACCUGCCCAUGUAUCCCCUGAUGCCAUUCUACAUGUGGAUGGUGAAGAACUUCUUAGUAAGCUCGAGGUUGAUGAUGUUGUGACAUUAUUAGAUGCUCGUGGAAAACAAAGGACACUUAAGAUCAUAAGCAGGCAUCCUAUUUUCUCAGGCGUCGGAUAUAUGGCUGAGUGCAGUAAGGCUGCUUAUGUCAAGUCAGGUGCAAAAUUAUAUAUCAAGGACAAGAGAAGGAAAUCAUCAGCUGGACAUGUAGUAGAUAUUCCUCCUCUCAAGCAGUUUAUCAAAUUAAGGGUUGAUGACUUGCUGAGUAUAUCACGAGAUGGUCAAAAUGAAGAAAACAAUUUGACUUCUUCCACUGGUGUGCACAGGAUAGCCUGCUCAUCUGAAUAUGUUUUUGAUUCAGUGAAGCCUGGGGAACCUAUUGCUUUUG